This 683-nucleotide long non-coding RNA is filed under the name Solanum tuberosum (potato). RNAcentral's name for it is "long non-coding RNA (STUB_LNC001226)". Lineage: Eukaryota; Viridiplantae; Streptophyta; Magnoliopsida; Solanales; Solanaceae. The record is from RNAcentral.
UUGAGAAUAUCAAGGCAUAUCCUUCCAAGCUUCAUAAUGAUGGUCAACAUAAGCGAGGCAGCUUGUGGCUUAGAAAUUAUGUAUAACAGAAUCGAAUAACAGAACAAACCUUAUCAAUAUUCGGAUGAUAGAUUUUGGUGAGGAAUCGAACCUGUAAAUAGUAUGCAACUUGAUCAAUGACUGAAUUAAUAGCAGCAACAAAAAUAGCACAAACUUAAUUCACAUUUUAAUUUUUACAGCAAGAACACACAUAAUCCCUACAACCAAUAUGUGAUCAACCCUACAUACUGCAUAUAGGUAAAAGCCCAUGAUCAUUUAGGAAGGGGCAACCCUCAUGCAAAACCAUGAAGGAAAUUUGUCUAUGAAUCCCCAAGCAUUUAUGGGCAAGCAACAUAGGGAAUCAUAGCAUCUCAAGACCUGAGGCAUCUUGUCCUCCAAGCGAGGUUCAAAAAUGUGUCAUGGUUGCAACUCAGUUCCCAGGAAAGUAAAUUCAAGAGAUGCUUAUAAGAUAAAAUAUGAGCCAAACUGAAAAAGUAUCUGCAGAGUUCAUGAUAUACUAUCAUCUUGGGAGUUAAAACCCCCUGAUACACUUAAUGUUGCCCCAGGAAAAACAGCCUGAAUUAAUAUAUUCAUCACGAACAGGAUUUAUAAGGGGGGAACCCACCCCCACCCCACCACACACA